GGCUACACAUGCAAGUCGAGCGGAUGAUGGGAGCUUGCUCCCUGAUUUAGCGGCGGACGGGUGAGUAAUGCCUAGGAAUCUGCCUGGUAGUGGGGGAUAACGUUCCGAAAGGAACGCUAAUACCGCAUACGUCCUACGGGAGAAAGCAGGGGACCUUCGGGCCUUGCGCUAUCAGAUGAGCCUAGGUCGGAUUAGCUAGUUGGUGAGGUAAUGGCUCACCAAGGCUACGAUCCGUAACUGGUCUGAGAGGAUGAUCAGUCACACUGGAACUGAGACACGGUCCAGACUCCUACGGGAGGCAGCAGUGGGGAAUAUUGGACAAUGGGCGAAAGCCUGAUCCAGCCAUGCCGCGUGUGUGAAGAAGGUCUUCGGAUUGUAAAGCACUUUAAGUUGGGAGGAAGGGUUGUAGAUUAAUACUCUGCAAUUUUGACGUUACCGACAGAAUAAGCACCGGCUAACUUCGUGCCAGCAGCCGCGGUAAUACGAAGGGUGCAAGCGUUAAUCGGAAUUACUGGGCGUAAAGCGCGCGUAGGUGGUUCAGUAAGUUGGAUGUGAAAUCCCCGGGCUCAACCUGGGAACUGCAUCCAAAACUGCUGAGCUAGAGUACGGUAGAGGGUGGUGGAAUUUCCUGUGUAGCGGUGAAAUGCGUAGAUAUAGGAAGGAACACCAGUGGCGAAGGCGACCACCUGGACUGAUACUGACACUGAGGUGCGAAAGCGUGGGGAGCAAACAGGAUUAGAUACCCUGGUAGUCCACGCCGUAAACGAUGUCAACUAGCCGUUGGGUACCUUGAGUACUUAGUGGCGCAGCUAACGCAUUAAGUUGACCGCCUGAGGAGUACGGCCGCAAGGUUAAAACUCAAAUGAAUUGACGGGGGCCCGCACAAGCGGUGGAGCAUGGUGGUUUAAUUCGAAGCAACGCGAAGAACCUUACCU
This 935-nucleotide ribosomal RNA is filed under the name uncultured bacterium. RNAcentral's name for it is "bacterial SSU rRNA". It matches the Rfam family "Bacterial small subunit ribosomal RNA", at positions 45 to 976 of the family's 1533-position model. The record is from RNAcentral.